RNAcentral lists this ribosomal RNA (465 nucleotides) under Vreelandella stevensii. RNAcentral describes it as "partial 16S ribosomal RNA". It matches the Rfam family "Bacterial small subunit ribosomal RNA", at positions 338 to 795 of the family's 1533-position model. The record is from RNAcentral. Lineage: Bacteria; Pseudomonadati; Pseudomonadota; Gammaproteobacteria; Oceanospirillales; Halomonadaceae.
CCUACGGGUGGCUGCAGUGGGGAAUAUUGGACAAUGGGGGGAACCCUGAUCCAGCCAUGCCGCGUGUGUGAAGAAGGCCCUCGGGUUGUAAAGCACUUUCAGUGAGGAAGAACGCCUGGUGGUUAAUACCCAUCAGGAAAGACAUCACUCACAGAAGAAGCACCGGCUAACUCCGUGCCAGCAGCCGCGGUAAUACGGAGGGUGCGAGCGUUAAUCGGAAUUACUGGGCGUAAAGCGCGCGUAGGUGGCUUGAUAAGCCGGUUGUGAAAGCCCCGGGCUCAACCUGGGAACGGCAUCCGGAACUGUCAAGCUAGAGUGCAGGAGAGGAAGGUAGAAUUCCCGGUGUAGCGGUGAAAUGCGUAGAGAUCGGGAGGAAUACCAGUGGCGAAGGAGGCCUUCUGGACUGACACUGACACUGAGGUGCGAAAGCGUGGGUAGCAAACAGGAUUAGAUACCCGUGUAGUC